AGCGAACGCUGGCGGCGUGCUUAACACAUGCAAGCCGAGCGAGAAAGGGGGCUUCGGCCCCUGAGUACAGCGGCGAACGGGUGCGUAAUACAUGAGCAAUCUACCCUUGAGGCGGGAAUAACCCAGCGAAAGUUGGGCUAAUACCGGAUAAGACCACAAGAGGAGACCCUAGAGGCUAAAGGCAGCUCUCUUUUGGAGGCGGCCCUUUGAGGAGGAGCUCAUGUCCUANCAGCUAGUUGGUAGGGUAACGGCCUACCAAGGCGAAGACGGGUAGCUGGUCUUAGAGGAUGAUCAGCCACACGGGGACUGAGACACGGCCCCGACUCCUACGGGAGGCAGCAGUGGGAAUAUUGGGCAAUGGGGGAAACCCUGACCCAGCGACGCCGCGUGGGU
RNAcentral lists this ribosomal RNA (393 nucleotides) under uncultured bacterium. Its description in RNAcentral is "bacterial SSU rRNA". It matches the Rfam family "Bacterial small subunit ribosomal RNA", at positions 29 to 406 of the family's 1533-position model. The record is from RNAcentral.